This 221-nucleotide long non-coding RNA is filed under the name Elaeis guineensis (African oil palm). Its description in RNAcentral is "long non-coding RNA (EGUI_LNC021832)". Lineage: Eukaryota; Viridiplantae; Streptophyta; Magnoliopsida; Arecales; Arecaceae. The record is from RNAcentral.
AGGAUCUCCCUAUUUAGGUAUUUAAUCCUUUUGAAAAGACAUCCGAGUGAGAAGGAUUGAUGGUACUUUUCUCCUCAAAAAAAUCAUAAAUUUAGACCUAGCCUUCCCUCUUCAUUUCAUGACUGGAAAGGUCAUUUUUUCUUUGUCUGGGCUCCCAUUCCAUAGGAUUUUAGGACUUCCUAAGGAUGUCCGGACAUCAAACAUAACUCCAAUGAUGAAAU